GGCUCUGAAGUAUAUAUUACGUUGAAUUGCAAAUUCGAAGAAGUAGUUUAAGUGCUACCAGGGCU
This 65-nucleotide transfer RNA is filed under the name Phascogale tapoatafa (brush-tailed phascogale). RNAcentral's name for it is "transfer RNA-Cys". Lineage: Eukaryota; Metazoa; Chordata; Mammalia; Dasyuromorphia; Dasyuridae. The record is from RNAcentral.